CAGAGGUGCUUGGUGCUGGUGCAUCAAGCAGCUGCUGAGGAUUUUAUCAUUGGCCAGGUUCUGCACCUGGGCAUGAUUGGGUAAUUAGCCCAGUAGUAAUUAGCACUAUUUCAAAGCCGAGAUACACUUGGAACUGGUUUAAGGAAUUUACCCUGGUUCCAAACAGUGCUUGCAAUUGUAGUUAAAAUUAAAUAAAACCACCAGCUAGAAGUAGUAUAGUUAAAACAUGCCACUAAUAGUAAUAGUGCUAAAGUAAGUUACAAAUAACUUGGAUCAAUUCAAUAAUAAAAACAAGGCUAUACUUAACUUGCUUGAUACAGGAGGGUUUUUCUGGUAUUCAGUUCAGCUGGGAACCUCGUAAAGUGGUUGGAAUGGGCCCUGGUGCAGAAUUCUUAGAUGGGCCCCCCUUCUUUUCACACACACACCUAAAAGUUGGUUUCUUAUUCUGGUGCAGCUUGAAUCACCUGCACAUAUGAAAGCUACGCCCAUGGGUCUCUUGUAUUAUAAGUUAUGUUUCUGUUUUUUAAAGCACAGAUAGCCAUGGAUGAUCGAAUGCGUGAAGUGUACAUUUACCUUUCUGAUAACAAUUAUCCACCAUCUUACUCCAUGCUACAGAAGCUAACUUUAAGAAGAUAUGCUUCAAAUUUUCCAUUCAAAGUAAGUACAUUAAAUAGUGGACUCUUGCAUUCAAUGCUAGGUAUUAUACAACAAGGCCAAUUUUUCAGUUUCAAUAACCCUUACAUAUUUGAUUAAAUGUCACUGAAAUAUGUGGACCCUGCAAUGUGAUUUAGAAUACCUUAAACUCAUGCUUUUCUAAAUAAAGUUUUCUGGAAUUUCUUGGGACAAAUUGCUGAUAUGACAUAUCCUCCAACUAAACCACUGAAAUAAACAUUUGUUCCACUGAUUUAGAUGGAGAGCUGUAUUAUUCUGCAAAGGGAACAGCAAAAAAGGUGGUGAUGACAAGGGAGCGUGGCAGGGAACUGUUCCAAGAAUUCCACUGCUCUCCCAUGGGGGGGGGGCAUAGUGGAGUUUUCAAAACAAGAAAUGCCUUGUCAUCCAGAUUUUACUGGCCAGGAAUGAUGGUUGAUAUUAGGUACUGGCUCCAUGGAACAGGUUACUGCUGACAGGAGUUACUUCUCCCAAUGGAACCUCCCAUAAUGGACACCAAAAAUGUAACAAAAGUAAAAUUCACAUCUGUCUAUUACUACAAAAUGAAUUUAAUAACACUACUUUAUUUGAAAAAUAAUAAUUUAAAAUGUUUAGGCAAUUUCUUAUUUGUUCUCUGCAAUAUUAAUCGCAUCCUUGGAUUUAACAUUCUGCAUCUUGCAUACUGUUUAAUCUUCUCAGUAGUGCAACUGUGGUCUCAAAAGGCUGUUGGACAAAUUUAAGAUAUUGUCGGUCCAUACAAGCUGUAUGACACUUCAUUUGAAACUCUAAAAGAAUCCGCCUGGUUGUCAGAUGAGGUAAGGAAAUAUCUAAUUCAAACCAUUUGAACAGCCCUUUUUCAUGACAUAAUAAUACUGAUAAAAUACCUUCUGCUUAUACCGUUUGUGUGUGUGUAACAUUAGGUGAUUGAUUCAUACCUCCAUGUAUUAACAAACACACUCAAGGUAAGUAUAUGUUAUUUAAAUGAAUCUGAGCUUGCUUAAAUUCUCAAUAGUUCUCGUAAUUAAUCAGUUUUAAUUUUGACAUUACAAUGGAAUACAGAUCUGCACAAAUGAAUUACCCAUUUGUGUUAACUAAAGUAUCCAUACCUUUCAUUGUGUAUCUGCAUUUAUUACAAAUGUUUAUUCAUUCUUGGCAAUUUGUUCAGGUAACUUUAUAUUACAUUAGGAGUAAAACAUGUUUUCUUUGACCAGAAAAAGGUCUACUGCAUGACUGCAGUUAUUGCCACAUCAAUAUUAAAUGGAUAAUUCAGAUCUGUCAGAAAUGUACUAAUCAUGUAAUAUAUAAGCUGUUCUCAAAGAAAUUAGUAAAAUGUAAAUGUAACAUCAGGCCUUACAUUUUCAUACAUUUAACAGAUCAGAAUACAAGAACAUGCGAUUGUGCUGUGCCCUUACAAUACUAUCGUGAAAAUACUGUGGUCUUGAUUGAUCCACUGGGUGAGAAGGACAAGUAUAGCAGAUGAAUUAAGAAACUGGAGGAGUUUCGUGAGAGCUAAUGUGGACACAGGAAAUAAGACGGUUUGUAAAUUGCAGACUUUCAAGACUUUGGAUGGCAGCAGUUGUGGUGUUCUGAUAUUAAAUGUAAAAAGCUAACAUUAUUAUCUUAAAUCUUUUCGUGUUUAAUUUUUAAAUUACACCUUUGCUUUGUUUUUCAGUUUGCAGAACAGUACCUUACAAGCGGAUCAAUUGAUCAGGUGGAAACCAGCCCAGCAUCUAUAAGAGCAGAAAGACUGGAGAUUGCUGGCCUCCUUAUGGAAAAUCAGGGUAACAUAGAUGAAUACUGCAUAAUAUGCAGCAUGAUGGACCCGCAAUCAGCCAACACCACAAUUAACAUGGUGCAAUGUGAUCACUGCAACAGACGGGCACACACUGAAUGCACUCCGUACUCUGCCGAAGAGUUAUCGCAUGAUUUUUCAUUUAUGUGCAAAAAAUGUAAAGUCAAUGGGUAGAAGAAGGUCUUUGCUUUGUUCUUUUUUUAGUUGUUUAGUUCGGCUUCCACAGCAUGCUGGAGAAACCGAUUGUUAUUGCUGGGAUUUCUGUUGUUUUUUUUCUGCCACAAAAACAGUAAUCAGCUAUAAAUAAAUAAUAACUUCCUCAAGAUGUUGUCUAUGAUCUAUCUACCCUGCAAUCUAAAGCGACACACAGAGCCUUGUUUUCUGUCUUAGACACAUCUACAUUGCACUUCCAAAUGCACAUCACCAUUAUCAGUUUCAUUGUGCUGCCCCUCCAAAUGAGCUACCCUACAUUUCAAUUAAAACACAAUUUAGCCCAUUUGGAGCAGUCUUUUCUUCUCAUCCAAAUGAGCUACCCAGGAUUUUGAGGGUUAACCUGUACAUUUCAAUUAAAACACAGGGUAGCCCAUUUGGAGUGGUCUUUUUCUCCUAAUGAGCUUCCUCGCAUUGUUCUCUUUAGGUAGCUCAUUUGGAGGGGGAUGCGCAAAUGAUCAGACUAGUCUGAUAAUCUGUGCUACGGGAUGAUCAUUUGGAGGGGGAUGCUCAGAUGGUCAGAACACCGGCAGCUCGGAGAUCGAGUCACAGCUUUUGCUAUUUGAGAGGGGAGAGGGAUUUGUUUACUCCCCUCUUCAAAGUUAAGUUUUUUUUAUUUUUUUUUGUUUUAAGUUUGGAUUUUUUUCCUUUUUAUUUUAAUAGUUAUAUAUUUUUUUCUAUCACUGAAAGUACAUGUUGGUUUUGCGUUUUUUAUUAUUAGAUUGUUUCUUGCUUUUGCCCUGCCCCCCCCCCCGAACAUCUGUUGCAGUCGUUGUUUCCUGCACGCACUCUACUGGUUUGGACUAUUUGAACGGAUGGACUUUACAGACUGUUGAGCCCUGGAAAGAGACUGUC
Acipenser ruthenus (sterlet) is the source of this 3505-nucleotide long non-coding RNA. RefSeq lists it as uncharacterized. The transcript is spliced from 5 exons. NCBI's taxonomy places the organism in Eukaryota, Metazoa, Chordata, Actinopteri, Acipenseriformes, Acipenseridae. The record is from RefSeq and is a predicted model, not a curated record.